CGCUUAUGAGCUCGCUGACUUCAUACCGCCACCUACAGGCCUGGAGUGCAACCGCGCUAUCGUCGACGAGUCAGAAAAAGAGUACACCUUCAUUACCAAAGAUGUGUUCAUGCCAUGAAAACUAAACAAUCGAUAAUGCACAAGGAACAGGAGAUGAGGAAUAACAGACUAUGCCCACCACCAAGAAUGUGGAAUACUGGUAAAGUUGGUAUUUGGGACGUCGUGUUCAACACUAUAAACCAUGGCAGAGAAUGUGAAGAUCCCCAUAGCGAUAAAGAGAAAGAGAC
This is a long non-coding RNA of Ctenopharyngodon idella (grass carp), 287 nucleotides long. RefSeq lists it as uncharacterized. Lineage: Eukaryota; Metazoa; Chordata; Actinopteri; Cypriniformes; Xenocyprididae. The transcript is spliced from 3 exons. The record is from RefSeq and is a predicted model, not a curated record.